GGUUGUGGCUCAGCGGUAGAGCGCUCACCUAGCAUGUGCGAGGCCCUGGUUCAAAGCUCAGCACCA
Molecule: transfer RNA, 66 nt
Filed under: Marmota monax (woodchuck)
Lineage: Eukaryota; Metazoa; Chordata; Mammalia; Rodentia; Sciuridae
Description: tRNA.Ala
Source: RNAcentral